AUUUGGAAAUCUUUUACAAAUGUAUCAACCCUUAUUCAAUAGUGUUUAAAAACAGUGUUAGAAUAGUUUGAGCUGGUGUGUGUAUAAUGGUGUGUGUAUAUAAAUUGUCUAAGCAGUAUGUUCUAAAUUGAAUAAGGUGACUGGAGGCAGCCUAGCUUUUCAUGUUUGUUCUCUGUGGACUGUUAGUGGGUCCAACAGCAGCAGCAGCUGGAGACUCUUGGAGCCAAACAAAGCAAAGCUAUCUUUCACGUUUUUCAGUCUGAUUGAACAGUUAUUGAUUCAAGUUAGCAUGAGUUUAUAGAGCUUCUUUUUUUGGGGUUAAAUUAAUUUACUAAUUUUGACGUAUAAGAAGACCUUGAACAAAUUAUUUAAGUUGAUUUAAUUGAGAAACCAGAUAUAUAGGAUUUACAGUGCAGUAAGCCUUUUAUAUGGCAAAUACUUAAGCUUGGGGUUUGGGUUAUUGCAGGAACAGUACAGGAAAUCUUUUAUAAUGCUAGUGACGGCACCAGUAACGUUCAUUUAGUUUUUUUAAAACAGCGGGCAUGUAUUCCUGGGCCCCAAACUGAAAAAACAUUCAGCUCAGUGUGUAACUGAAAGGCAUGUACUAAUGAUUGAGUCAUGCAUCUAUAAUGGUUGGAAAGGCAUAGCAUGUUUAGAUUGAUGGCAGAGGAGGCGGGACUCUGUGUGUGUUCCUGAAUCCCAUCGAUUGUCUGGUUUUCACCUCAGAGGAACACACACGUCAAAGCUUUGUUAAACUCGUUCAUCUAUUUACAUUUCUGUUAUCUGUGCAGUGUGCUAACAUAGCAUGACAAAUUAAAGAAAAUAUCAGUCGCUCCAGGCAGUAUAUGGCUGACAGUAACAUGUGUGAACUGAAAGCUGAGACAAUAUGUGUAGCCUACACGAUACAUCAACUCCAAGGCCAAGUGUGUAAGUGUUGAUAUUUCACUCAAGUAGGAAACUAAGUGUGAUAAAUAAACUGACAACUUAAAUACUGUGUAGAGGAAGGGGGAGUCUUAAAGAAACAGGAGCUAAAUCAAGGCAUUUCAGACAGAGGCUGUAAAGAGGAGCUGCAGCACUAGACAGCACGAGGAUAGUGAUGUGCCUUCUGAACAUAAGAGCAUGUAGCCCUUUUCAAGUAAUAACCCAAAUUAAAAUGAUGAAUCCUAAUACCAUUUAAACGUUAAAAUUUGAUCUAAAAAUCAUAUUCACAAAUUACAAUUUGCCUUAACAAUCUGGACGAGGUCUGACAUCCUCCGUCUUUAAACCUUUACUAGAGUGAGGGAAAUCGACCAGAAAAUAAAACGUGUUAAAAACACAGGAAGCCCAAACACUGCAGGAAUCUAUAUAUGUCCUUUAACAAAGCUGUCAAACCUGCUGUGCUGUGUGAAGUUCGCGCUCAAAUCCUGUUGAUUAUGAAUCAUGCUCAAACUGUUUUUUCAUACGACGUUCAGUAGGAAAUGUAAUGCCACCUGGAUUAUGUUGACUGAUGACGGUUUUGCUCUUAUACAGGACACAGUGAUGUUAUACUGCAUUGAAACGUUGUGGGGAGGAAGGCGGAGUGGAUGCAAACAGUACAAAGCUCAUUAGUUCGACAGUCUAAUCCUCCAAAUCACAGCUGACUCAGUAUUCUACCAAGACCAUAACCUUUCUCUAUAUUCAACAAAGUGCUUUGGUUGCCUAACCUUGUGAUAUAUUUGUCAUAACCACAAUGUUUCCUGAACCUUAACCAAGUGCUUUCAGUUGCCUAAACAUAAUCAUGAAGCCCUUAAUCAGGCUUUAGUUGCCAACAGCGGAUACUUUAAGGAAAACAAAUGAAAAAGUUAGACAGUAAAACGGCACAUGAAAGUUCACUCUUAACUAUGGAAAAAGAAGUUGACAAAAACUCCCCACAUAGUCCAAGGUUUAGUAGCUCUUCUAGAGCUUUUGAUCAUAUCACAUGACAUUCUUCAUUAUAGGAUGGAGUUGGCCCAUUUGCAAUGGGAUUUUCGAUGAAGACACUUUUAUCACCACACAUGAAUAAUAGUUCUGAGUAUCUUGAUACUAACAUUAUCAUUAAAACCAUCUUAUUUCUACUAUGUUUGUGUGGUUGUGACUUUGGUUUGUUAUCAUUAUUCUGUUGUUAUUAUAAUUCUCCAGUUCUUUUGGUUGUAAAGUUACCUUUCAAAUGAGGCUGAGAUUCACUGGAAAAAAAAAGUUUAAAGAAAAUCAAGUCACUUUGAAAACAUGCAACUGAUACAUCCCAUUCUGUCGCCCUCAUGUCAAAGUGUUGAAAAUUACUCAUAUAAUUACAGUGCUGCAUAAUAUAUACACAACCAACCACGACUUAAAUUUCAUUGUCCUCGUUAAAUACAACUACCCUCUCAGAUCGGUGCUCCAUGAAACAAGGUCUUUGGCUUUCGAGGCUGUCAGAGUGCCAAAGUUCAACUGCAGGACUGGGGUCAUAUUGUUUGAACAAUCAGGAUGUGAGUAGAGAAAAUGUGUCACCAUUUUUAAUAGAGCCUCCCUCACAGUUUGAUGUUGCAGUUGCAUAUGUCUGUCCACGAGUUCACCAAGGUUCCAGAAAUUGGUCUCCAAACCUGAAAAGACCCUGAGAUGUUCUACCCGAACCCAACCCAUGGUUACACAUCUCAAACCCAGCCGGGAGACACAGACCUAAUUGGACCAGAUUUCGAACUUUGCUUAUCUUAGACCACUCUACUUGCAAUUGAAUCUUCACAUUCCAAGCGUAACGCCUCUCCAUAAUCGCUUGAGAAAUAGUAGCAAUAAAGGUUUAGGGGUUAAAAGCAUUGAUUUUCCUCAGAGAAAAGGAUGAAAUAACCCAAACAGCUAAUAUGACGUGGAGUUGUAGUGUGUUUAAAUGCUGAUGUUGUCAUGGGAAGAGAGAUUCAGGGUUGAUGUAACACAGACAAUCCAAGGUUGUUGAGAUUGUCUACAAACUGGUAGCCUGUAGUGCUUGACACCAUUUAGAAUAAUGAACAAUAAGUUGAUGAAAUAAACACAUUAGAGCAUGCAAAAUGGAUGCAACAUGCUCUGAAAUGUCUAAGUUACUCCUCUGCGUGACUGUCUAGUGUUUUCCUCUGUGAGGCAAGCACAAAAGGAUGACAGCAGGUCAAAUGAGGGGCGCACUAGCAACAAUGGCGUUCUUUACCUCUUCAUGGCCGCACACAGUUCCACUCAUCAAGGCUGCAGCCGUGUCUUUGAGUCAAACAAUCCAAAUGCUUUCAAAGUGGCAUUUUUCGUUAAACAUAAAAUAUUUAAUUUGCGGACUAAUGCACUUAAAAUGACAAGGACUUUGCCUCAAAAAGGAAAAAAUUGGCCUUUUGUCCGUUGCCUAUUUUCCUGAAUAAGGGAUGUAGGUUUUUAUUUUUUUUCAUUUCUAACUGCAUUAAAAGAAGAAGUAUAGUCCUUUAUGCAAUGUUUCAAAGACUGGGAAACAGAGACACAGCUGAAGCAACUCUUUUCAAAGAGUUUUUUUUAUUCGAUUUCCUUUUAUUCAGGAGUUUCAUUUAGCUUUUUAGUUAUUGUUGAAGGCCUCCCAAGCCUACUGACCUUAGGGAUUUUCAUAAACCCCAUCCCAAUUUACAAUCUUUGUCAAUUUUCAUUAGCUAAGAAUUGUCCAACAAUGCAUUCAAGGGGAGGUUUUACAAUGAAGCUCACAUAAAGUAUAGUGUUUCUCAAAAUUAAAGUAAUAAGUUUAGCACUGCAAGUAUAUGAGGAGAAAUAUUUUUCUUUGGUCACACUGUAUCAUUUCAGGGAUACAAUAAACACAUGCUUUAUCCAUCCCUUAAUUAUAAUGCUUAUCCUUGAGCGCCACGGCCAGCUGCCAUUGGGCAAGUCGCCGGGCACACAUCUCAUUCAGGUUGCCAGAAGAUAACAUGGCUUCAGACAACAACCAAUCACGACACACAAAGGCAGGUAGGUUUGAACUUCUACUACUUGUCUGAAGCCAUUACUUGAAGUCAGUGUUUAUCUUUAGAGCUAGGGUUUGUAAUCCUGGAAAAGCUAGCCAAAGCAGGCUGCACUUUGAUCAGCCCUCAUGUCAUAGCUAUGCCCCCAUGCUAACAUGAACGUGCACUGACUGACAACUGCUAGAGACCGGCUUGAGGAGAGAGAGCAAAGAGGAGCUUGACAUCAACUACUCCGUGUCUGAAUCACCUCUAAGAAAACAUUUAACUCUAUCACAAUGAACCUAACCAAUCAUUAGUACUCAAACUAGCAUGUUAGCAUGGGGGAUUUUUUUAUUCAUAAUUUCGUUAGAUACUGUAACAUAUCGAAAUAUAAGACUGUAAAGACUCUGGCCCCGCAGAGUGAGAAUCUGGGCUGGCAGGUCGGUUAUUGACAGACGAGUAUGCUGACAUAUCAUUUCAUUCAGUCCAUUAAGCCCAUUAAGAUAUUAUUAGUGUUUCAGAUACAAUUUUGCAACCCUACCUUUGAGGCGAUGUCAGUGUGAUUGACUGUCAGUCCGAUGUGAUCCAGAUCUCAAUAGAUUUAUAGCUGUGUGUUUAUUUAUUUCAUUUGCAGAUCUUCAUUGUCCCCAGAGGAUACUCACUUUAGUCUUUACCUGAUCUAUCCUCGAGCCAAACCAGGAGGUGGAGAUUUGCGGGCUUGAGUGAUAUUGGCUGGAUUUCACUGAAGGAUGUUUUUAAUUAAUUAAAGCUAAACUGUUAUCAUUUAGGAUUUUUGCAUCCAUGUUCCACCUUUGGUUGAAUUGUUUCAACCUCAUUUUCCUAAUCUCUUGAGUGAUCUACCGUAUAGUUGUACGUUUUGGGUCGUUUUGCAGUAAAGAUCCACGAGAGAACAAUGCUUGGAACAGUAUGAACCAGCAGUGUGAUGUAAAGUCAUAGGAAAGAAUCGGUUCUUAACCACUACACCCAAAACCUUUUAGUGUUUUUAAUCCAUGCUUUAUGUGGAAAUCCAUCAUCACACCAGUUAGCCUUGAUUUCAAUAAAUAAAUGCAAACUUCUACUCUUUAUCUGUAAAAUCAAACACACAAUGCUCAUCCUGACACAUGGUAAACUCAAGGCAAGUGCAAGGGGUCAAUUAUUACCUUUUUGAAUCAUGAGCAUUGAAUGAUUAAGCAUCAUCAGCUCUCAGCUCAAAGAGGAUGACUGUGACCAGUGAGUGCGAUUUAAUGACUAGUGGAGCCUCCAUGAUCAUAAACAGUGUGGCUUUGAUGCCUCAUAGAUGGAGCCUCCCCAACACGUUUGAAGAGGGCUCCUCCUUUGUAAUAGCAAAUUGUAAUUCUCUUGAUCUAGAGGCCUGAUCGGUAAGAAGAGAAAAGAAGAUUUUGUUCUCUGUACUCUUCAAGAUGAUUUUUAGAAGCCAAAAGGUGAAUUUGCCUGGGGCUUCCAUCUACAACCGGGCUUUCAUGAAGAAAGAGUGUCAUUAUGCCUCAUCAUCUCCACACAUGCCAGAAGCCUGUGAGAAAAGAAAGGUAUGAGCAAAGACCUGCACAAGGCUGCGCUCAAGUUGCCCACAUGGACACCCCAUUGAACUGCAGAGCUGCCAAAUGAUCCAAGGAUACUCUUCGGCAAGUGACUGAACCAACAUUUUCCCUGUGCCGCUAACGCUUGGUGUGUAUUAGAGAAAGUGUAUAAUGGUUCCAGCGGCAUAAAAUGGGUGAAAUGCGGCAAGAGAACCAGCAGAUCUCUGAGUGCGACACUCCGUAGUAUCUGCAGACUUUAUCCACCAGACCUCCUCGUAUACCGUCUGUAGAAAUCCAGGAGGAGUCAAAGUGUGAAUCCAGUAGGGCAUCCCCAUUGACCGGCUGCUCCACCUCUCGCCUGAAUAACGCAGAGGAUCUGAUGCUGUUGUGAACACGUCUGUGCCGAGAACCUCCCACUUUGUUGUGUAUGUGUGAAAUGCAAACUCUGGGUGAACUCCGUAGUCAAUUCUCCAGAUUUUACCCAAAGGUCAAGACUGAAAACUGCUCUCGAGAAAGUUACAAAUCCUAUUUGAAUUUUCCGUAGAUGUCACCAGUUACAGGCUUAGUGAUUGUUGCACAAAAUCUCAUAAAUUGGCGACUUUUCUUAUCAGAAAGUUACCUUGUACCAUGUUUAAUCCCAGGGAAUAUUGAAAUUAUUUAUUUAUUUUAAAUGAUAUGUUGGAGGUUCUCUGUUUAGUAGUGGGAUAUGAUGAUAUUGCAAGAAAAAAUGUUCCAUAAAUGUUCUGCUUAUUGUUAGAUGGACGUUUGAACUUGUCUCUGCAGUUUGACUCAUGUAGACACAUUUUCACAUUCAUUGGCUGAGGGGGGAAUGUUUCACUGUGCUCAGGUUUGAUUCCAAUAUGCGACUUACAAAAGUGGGAUGUGGAAGUUUGAAACCUGUGUUUAUAAACUUUUUUAACCAGGGAAAAAAAUUAUAUAUAGAUUUUUUUUUUCUUCUAUUUUUAACAAGGUAAUUCAACUUUUUGGUGGAAAACCCUUAUUACUUUGUUUAUGUGUCAAAACAAGCUCAAUGGAAUGUUAACAUAAAUGUGUUGAAGCCACAGUCAUGACAUUAGGUCAACAUGACUAUUCUGCUGUUCUGACACCUAAUCUGUAUGUAGCUGCCAGCAGCUUUAACCACCAGGAAACUAAGGAGAACUUGAGGAUUACAUCAGUUUCUUUCGGAGAUUUAAUAAAGCUUGUAUGUGCAGCACAUACUAUACAUAUGAUUGUGAGUAUCAAGCAAUGAAAGCACUACUGCUCUGCAUUGAACUAGGUUAAGGUGCUGAAAGCUCAACCAAGCACACACAGAAACAUUCUGUUCACUUGCAAACAGCUAAAUGUUCAUGCUGCAGAAAGGGGAAAGGAAAUGUAAAUGAUGAUGACUUAUUUAAUGAGAUUAACAUUGCAACAGCACAAAUCUGAUUUUAAACACCCCUCCCAAAUAAAAGGAGUGUGUGACAAACUUGCAGGCGCCCCUCACAGGGUGACGCUGCAGUUGAUUUGGGAAUUACAAUUAGAUUUAUGAUGUGGCUGCAUAUGGCUGAGCUCUCUGUUUCUCUCUGUGAAAACGCUGGGAUUGGCUGCAGCGAAUGCCGGCGCCAUGGCGUAUACACCACAGCACAUUCAGAAUGUGUGGCGUUACCUCACACAUACACACACACACACACACAAUGGAACAAUAGGCCACAUUUACGGUAAUGGGCCACCAAAAUAUAAGACCAAAUGGAACCGCUCAAUAUUAAAAACAGAAAUCCUUGUGUUGGAAAUUAUAAGAUCCUUGGAAAGUGAGGGCACUAUCUAGAGUAAAGGAAAUAAGAAUUCAUGCAGUUACCUGAAAUGUGUGCACGCCGCUUUCAGACACAAAAGACACAAGUGUUUCACUGCAAAUAAUCGGUUUCAUGACAUGUUCAUUUCUCAAUGUUGCACAAAAGUCAAAGAAGCACUUUAGUAAAGAAAAUGUCACCUUAACUUUUUAUUUAUUUAUUAUUAUUUUUUUGAUUGUCUUUCUCACCAAGUUUGUACUGACACUUUUUAGAGCCAAAGCUGGCUAAUAAAUACAAUGAAAUGUUAAAACGCACAAUUGAAUUUCAAAUACAAUACUCAUCACAAAAACAAAACAAAAUGUGUGUGUGACCAAAAGACGUCAGAAGCUGGUCACAACUGACAAGAGCAUGAGGUUACCUGAAAGGGAUCAGAGGUGAAGGGACCACUUUAGGCAACAUCGUUUGUUUAAAUAAAUGAAAUGCUUCUAGAGAAAAUGGCAUUAUGCUGGUGCCUGGCAUGUGCGAGGCUUCCUCAAAAGAGACUUUUGACUGUUCUAAUUUAGCAUGUUGAAAAUCAAACAACAAUUUCACAUUAGUCAAUACUGGAAAAAAAAGAAAAAGGAAAAAAAAAAAAAACUAUAUAUAUCCAGUGCUUAGGAUGUGUAUGACACUAACUGAAAUCUAUAUGUAUGAGACCUUUUCCCCGGGAGAAAAAAACAAUGUAAGAAUUGCCAGAUAUGGUCACAAAUAGUUAUAUGGAGUCAGAACGCAGCUGAACACAGCACCCAGAAACCACCUGAGGUCACAGGUGUCCAAAAUGGAAACGUGUUCAAUUUGCAGAGAGGAUGGUGAAAAUAGACAAAAGAAGAAAAAAAACAAAAAAAACGUUUUAGAGAAAGAAUGUGACAUCUGAGUAAAAUGGAGGAAAAAAUCGUUCAAACCCAGCAUGGUGCUGACCACUGGGCCUCGCCGAAAGACGAAAGAGGAACAUCUUGCUCCAGACUGUGGAAAACUUGUGUGAUCCGACCAAUGGCUGCGACUGAGAGAAAAUGAUGCACCAUUUUUUCCUCCAUUCUUCUCUUAAUAAUUUACUUGUCUUCAAAAUAUACAUGCGAUGUAGAAAAAGGUACCCUUUUCGAAAUAACAGACCUAUGAGUACCAUUCAUUUGCAACUAUAUAAUUUUUCUUUUAAACAAUUUGGUGUAUCUUUCCCACAUGAUGCAGAGAAGACGUUAAAAAAAUAUUAACAAACUAAUACAAAUAUUAACAUUAUGCACAUCUUUGUACCGAUGGAAAACACAGUUAAUAACUCUUAUCCUACAGUAUAUGUUCUUCGUGGGGCUGCUUCUUCCCCUUCGUUAUGAUGCUGAAGGUUCUCUUUUAAGACUGAAUUAUUAUUAUAUAUUAAGUGUAUAUUAAGGUAGAAAUCAAACCAUAGCAUGACUUGAUAAAUGAUCGAAGUCGGGCUUCAGUCAGCAUACUGCGCUGCAUUUGUUGCACAUCGUGAUAAGUGUUUGGCCUCAAAGAACCAUGGGCAAUGUGGUUCUUGAAAGCACUACUACAAUGGAAUAGAGGAACAGACUCAUUAAAAAUGCUACUCUUCUAAAAGCCGGAGGGUCUGCCACUGAGUGACGCGAAAUGUGUGCAUGUGUGUGAAUGACUGAGGCAGUGCGAUGAAAACAAAUCUUCCCUGAGGAGGGAGGCCAGCAGGUACCAAGCAGGAACUCAUCUCAUCAGAUAGAGACAGCUGAUUGUAUAAGACUUUUUUGCAGCAUUGGAAGUUAAGACUACGACAUCCAGAGUGAAUGUGAAUGGAGGUUUGGCACAUUUGAAUUAAAUCCGUACAAUGUCUGGGUACUACUACUACUACUACUACUAAUAAUAAUAAUAAUAAUAAUAAUAAUAAUAAUAAUAAUAAUAGAUAUAUAAGGGAUGUUGCUCCCCAUAUUUCUUGACAGUCUAAAAAAGUCCUACCACUCUUUUUAUAUGAAAACAAACAAAACAAAACAAAACAAAACACAUUCACAAGCUGGCACAUCAUACCUGAGCUGGGAUAUUUAAAAAAAGAAGAUCUAACAGUUAUGUAAGCAGUUUGUCAGAAACAAGAUGUCGAUGCACUGUAAAUGUAAGAAAACAAAAGUAAGACUAUAAGAUUACAAGAGCUAAGAUUUAUAUUAAAACUUUUCAAAUUUCAAGUUCCGACAGUCCAGAGUUUGUACAGGCAGUGA
Long non-coding RNA from Pleuronectes platessa (European plaice), 9419 nucleotides. RefSeq lists it as uncharacterized. The transcript is spliced from 2 exons. NCBI's taxonomy places the organism in Eukaryota, Metazoa, Chordata, Actinopteri, Pleuronectiformes, Pleuronectidae. The record is from RefSeq and is a predicted model, not a curated record.